CUCCUGUCUAACGACGGGCCAUUCUGGGAUGUUAGAUGGUUCCUCAUCCUGAUGUUAGAUGGUUCCUCACCCUGACUGUAGUCUACAGGAGAAACUGGGAUGUUAGAUGGUUCCUCAUCCUGACCGUAGUCUACAGGCCAGGAGAAACUGGGAUGUUAGAUGAUUCCUCAUCCUGACCGUAGUCUACAGGCCAGGAGAAACUGGGAUGUUAGAUGGUUCCUCAUCCUGACCGUAGUCUACAGGCCAGGAGAAACUGGGAUGUUAGAUGGUUCCUCACCCUGACCGUAGUCUACAGGAGAAACUGGGAUGUUAGAUGGUUCCUCAUCCUGACUGUAGUCUACAGGCCAGGAGAAACUGGGAUGCUAGAUGGUUCCUCAUCCUGACUGUAGUCUACAGGAGAAACUGGGCUAAUAAAUUAGAGUUGAUUCAACUGUAUUUAAUUAUUUAGUUUGACUUCAAGGUGAUUUGCCCUUUUUAAAUGGCAGCGGCCAGCUAUAGGAGGAGUCUUGGUGGUUCCAAUCUUCUUCCAUUUCAGAAUGAUGGAGGCCACUGGGUUCUUG
This is a long non-coding RNA of Oncorhynchus tshawytscha (Chinook salmon), 560 nucleotides long. NCBI's taxonomy places the organism in Eukaryota, Metazoa, Chordata, Actinopteri, Salmoniformes, Salmonidae. The record is from Ensembl.